This 259-nucleotide unclassified non-coding RNA is filed under the name plant metagenome. RNAcentral's name for it is "partial contains 5.8S ribosomal RNA, internal transcribed spacer 2, and large subunit ribosomal RNA". The stretch from base 1 to 105 matches the Rfam family "5.8S ribosomal RNA", at positions 50 to 154 of the family's 154-position model. The record is from RNAcentral.
GAAAUGCGAUAAGUAAUGUGAAUUGCAGAAUUCAGUGAACCAUCGAACCUUUGAACGCACAUUGCGCCCCCUGGUACCCCGGGGGGCAUGCCCGUCCGAGCGUCAUCUCAGACCCUCAGGCCCCGGCCUGGCGCUGGGCCCCGCGCGCAUGGCGCGGGCCCGAAACCCCGCGGCGGGACAGCGGUCUGACCACGCCGUAAAACCCCCAACUUCUCAAGGUUGACCUCGAAUCAGGUAGGAAUACCCGCUGAACUUAAGC